AUUGAACGCUGGCGGCACGCCUAACACAUGCAAGUCGAGCGGUAACAUGAGUAGUAGCCAUACUACUUGAUGACGAGCGGCGGACGGGUGAGGAACACGUAGGAACCUGCCCAAAAGAGGGGGAUAACCAAGGGAAACUUUGGCUAAUACCGCGUAAUCUCGAGAGAGAAAAGCUGCCGCAAGGUGGCGCUUUUGGAGGGGCCUGCGUCCGAUUAGCUAGUUGGUGAGGUAAGAGCUCACCAAGGCGAUGAUCGGUAACUGGUCUGAGAGGACGACCAGUCACACUGGGACUGAGACACGGCCCAGACUCCUACGGGAGGCAGCAGUGGGGAAUAUUGGACAAUGGGGGCAACCCUGAUCCAGCGAUGCCGCGUGAGUGAAGAAGGCCUUCGGGUCGUAAAGCUCUUUAGGUUGGGAAGAAGGUUGUGGGAGGAAAUGCCUGCAGCUUGACGGUACCGACAGAAUAAGCACCGGCAAACUCUGUGC
RNAcentral lists this ribosomal RNA (486 nucleotides) under uncultured bacterium. Its description in RNAcentral is "bacterial SSU rRNA". It matches the Rfam family "Bacterial small subunit ribosomal RNA", at positions 29 to 508 of the family's 1533-position model. The record is from RNAcentral.